UAGAAUUUAAUUUAGGAUUUGCUUUAGGAUUAGGAUUUGAUUAGGAUUUGAUUUAGGAUUUAGGAUUUGAUUAGGAUUUCAUUUAGGAUUUUCUUAGGAUUUAAUUUAGGAUUUAGUUGGGAUUUGGUUUAGGAUUUAGGGUUUGGUCAGGAUUUGGUUUAGGUUUAGGAUUUGAUUUAUGGUUUAGGAUUUUAUUAGGGCUUAUUUAGGAUUUAAGAUUUACUUAGUUUUGGCCUAAAGUUUGAAUGAAGUCCAAUAGGAUUUUAACUAGGAUUAAAUUAAGAUUGAAUUGAGAUGUAUGUGUAAGUUAUUUGUGAUCAUUCUAAUAUUUCUUUAAGAUUUCUUAUUUUUUCUUUAAAAUUUCUUUGAGGUUUCUUUGAAUUUGAUUAAAGCUUGCUUAGCAUUAUUAUGUUUUAAUUAGAGCAUUGUUAGAAUUCUAUUAGAAUUAGGAUUUUAUUGUUGUAAUUUCCAUUCUACCUUCUACAACAAGGUGCUCGGAGCAUUCUCAAGCAAGACUUCAUGUAUUACGACACUGUAUUGUAACCAACAA
RNAcentral lists this long non-coding RNA (550 nucleotides) under Physcomitrium patens. RNAcentral describes it as "long non-coding RNA (PPAT_LNC012491)". Lineage: Eukaryota; Viridiplantae; Streptophyta; Bryopsida; Funariales; Funariaceae. The record is from RNAcentral.